This 54-nucleotide transfer RNA is filed under the name Heterakis dispar. RNAcentral's name for it is "tRNA-Ser". Lineage: Eukaryota; Metazoa; Nematoda; Chromadorea; Rhabditida; Heterakidae. The record is from RNAcentral.
GAACUAUGUUGGGGAACUUUGAAAGUUCCCGGAAAGAUUUUUUCUUGUAGUUUU